This 463-nucleotide ribosomal RNA is filed under the name uncultured bacterium. RNAcentral's name for it is "partial 16S ribosomal RNA". It matches the Rfam family "Bacterial small subunit ribosomal RNA", at positions 339 to 795 of the family's 1533-position model. The record is from RNAcentral.
CUACGGGGUGCACCAGUGGGGAAUAUUGCACAAUGGGCGCAAGCCUGAUGCAGCCAUGCCGCGUGUAUGAAGAAGGCCUUCGGGUUGUAAAGUACUUUCAGCGGGGAGGAAGGGAGUAAAGUUAAUACCUUUGCUCAUUGACGUUACCCGCAGAAGAAGCACCGGCUAAUCCGUGCCAGCAGCCGCGGUAAUACGAAGGGUGCAAGCGUUAAUCGGAAUUACUGGGCGUAAAGCGCACGCAGGCGGUUUGUUAAGUCAGAUGUGAAAUCCCCGGGCUCAACCUGGGAACGGCAUCUGAUACUGGAAAGCUUGAGUCUCGUAGAGGGGGGUAGAAUUCCAGGUGUAGCGGUGAAAUGCGUAGAGAUCUGGAGGAAUACCGGUGGCGAAGGCGGCCCCCUGGACGAAGACUGACGCUCAGGUGCGAAAGCGUGGGGAGCAAACAGGAUUAGAUACCCCGGUAGUC